AGCCCUGUAGUCUAGCGGUUAAGGACUCGAGGCUCUGAACCUCGUAACCCAGGUUCGAAUCCUGGCAGGGCUA
RNAcentral lists this transfer RNA (73 nucleotides) under archaeon CG06_land_8_20_14_3_00_37_11. RNAcentral's name for it is "tRNA-Gln". It matches the Rfam family "tRNA". From Rfam's summary of the family: Transfer RNA (tRNA) molecules are approximately 80 nucleotides in length. Their secondary structure includes four short double-helical elements and three loops (D, anti-codon, and T loops). Further hydrogen bonds mediate the characteristic L-shaped molecular structure. tRNAs have two regions of fundamental functional importance: the anti-codon, which is responsible for specific mRNA codon recognition, and the 3' end, to which the tRNAs corresponding amino acid is attached (by aminoacyl-tRNA synthetases). tRNAs cope with the degeneracy of the genetic code in two manners: having more than one tRNA (with a specific anti-codon) for a particular amino acid; and 'wobble' base-pairing, i.e. permitting non-standard base-pairing at the 3rd anti-codon position. The record is from RNAcentral. RNAcentral also lists the same sequence under 1 other name.